UACGUAGGGGGCAAGCGUUGUCCGGAAUCAUUGGGCGUAAAGCGCGUGUAGGCGGCUCGGUAAGUCCGCUCUGAAAGCCCGGGGCUCAACCCCCGGGAGGCGGGUGGAUACUGCUGAGCUCGAGUCCGGAAGAGGAGUGUGGAAUUCCUGGUGUAGCGGUGAAAUGCGCAGAUAUCAGGAAGAACACCAAUGGCGAAGGCAGCUCUCUGGGACGGUACUGACGCUGAGACGCGAAAGCUGGGGGAGCGAACAGG
Molecule: ribosomal RNA, 254 nt
Filed under: uncultured bacterium
Lineage: Bacteria
Description: partial 16S ribosomal RNA
Rfam family: Bacterial small subunit ribosomal RNA
Source: RNAcentral